UUCUCCAGUACUACUUUUUUUUCACUGUUAUUUGAAGUAUGAUAAUUCUUUUUAUACUUUUGUGCCACUGAACAUAAGGAGAUUCUAUUUAUUUUGGAGGUCUACAGAAAAAAAAUAUUGCUAAUUGAACGAAGUAAGAUGGAAAUAUUUUGAUUAAUACAACAAUUACGGGUAUGUGGGAUGGUGUUUGUGACAGAUGUCUGGAAAUAGUUCUCUGAAAUAAUGCAAAAAAAUUGCUGAAGGUAACUGCUGGAAUUUUUAAAACAGAAACUACUGAUAAAUAAACAUCAUUUGAGAUUGUGCUAAUGGAGAGUUGUUGAAUUUUAACUUGUCCCUUUCUCUUGGACACCUGCUGCUGGUGGAAAGUGACAGGUAUCCCGUGGAACUAAUCGAUGUGCGCGAAGCUGGCCAGGACACUACGGCUAUAAAAGAAAAUGUUCUUAAAACGGAAACUAUUGAUAAAUAAAGAUCCUUUCAUAUUGCCUAUUGGGAAGUUGUGAAAUUUUAGCUUGUCCUUUUCUCUUAAAAAAUGAGGAAAGCAUUGCGCAUUGACUAUGUGGUACUUUGUCAUGUUAGUCCCUUUUUUGUGGAGCAUGGCUGCAAGAAGACAACAACGUAACACGAAAGAACUUUGAUGUUUUUAGGUAAUAAUAUACUCCUCUUUUCCAUUUUUCAGUCUAAUGAUUUCUUCUACAUUUAUUAUGUAUUACAUAUACUUCUAAUAUUGAGUUUUCUAUUAAAGAGUUCUAUAAAUGAAGAAUCUUUGAGUUCCAAAAUGCCUCUGGUAUGUGCAUUAUUUCAUUCAGUUCUGGUGAGUUUUUCUCUGUUCUUGAUUUUCUCAUUGCACCCAAUUAGCUAGCGGGAUUUUAGUGCGUAAUAAGUAGUUUCUCCGUACCUUACGGUAGUUUCUUGUAAUUUUAAUUUUACACACAUGGCUACUGAUAUCCAGUUUGCAUACUGAUGCAUCGAAGGUGUUCGGUAAUAUGCCUAAAUCAACUCUUUUUUAAUAGCUUUUCUCUUUUGACAGUUUUUCUAUAUUCCAGCAAUUGGAAAGGUGACUUUCCGUUGUAAAUUGAGCCAUGAAAUGAUGAACUGCCCUCUGCUGAUAGUAUACACUGUCGGUAAUCAAGACGGGAACAAGAUUACUGACAAACCAAUCUUGGACUAUAUCAUGAAGUCUCUUGGUCCAGAUUGUUUCUCUGCCUCUUCAAUGAGAAGAUCAGUUGGCGUUACUACAGGAAUGCGCCGCACCUUAAUUAAGUUUAACUAAAAGUGAGAGAGCCGGUCUACCAUCUGAAGUAAGUGCUUCCAUCACCAGUCUUAAAUGAAAUAUGGUGAAUGGUGAAGUAUCGAACUAUAGCACCGGAGCAAAAGCUAUAUUGCAAGUUAUGAUGAGGAAAAAUGGGGUUACAAUUGCUGACCGGGAAAAGUUGUCUUGAUCAAGCAACCCUGACGCACUGUUCUUAGGGGUAGUAGAAAUUCAGGAGAUGUGACAACAUUUGGUAUAUCAGGGGGCCUCUCACAUUGAGAGAAGGCUUGACUUGCUGAUGAUUGUAGACGGGAACUAUGAACAUGCAGCAGAGGAUCAGAUGAUAAAGAAAGGCUAGAUAUGUUGUUAAUUGGCAAGACACCGACUACUCAGUAGUGGCAAUUUGGUGCAAGGAUAGACUAAAACUUUGGCACAUCGAUGCUAAAGUACCAGAAACUUACUAGGUAGUAGGUACUAUAUUUUCCUAUGUAUUUCAGAAAUCUUAUAAAUUUUCUUAUCACAUUACAUCUAACUAGAACAUGUUUUAUCUAUAUUUGUGGACUU
Molecule: RNA transcript, 1813 nt
Organism: Lycium ferocissimum
Lineage: Eukaryota; Viridiplantae; Streptophyta; Magnoliopsida; Solanales; Solanaceae
Exons: 3
Source: RefSeq, a predicted model, not a curated record